UAUGAACGCUGGCGGCGUGCUUAACACAUGCAAGUCGAACGAAGCAGCUUUCUUCGGAAAGGUGACUGAGUGGCGGACGGGUGAGUAACGCGUGGGUAACCUGCCCUAUACAGGGGGAUAACAGUUAGAAAUGACUGCUAAUACCGCAUAAGCGCACAGUGCUGCAUGGCACAGUGUGAAAAACUCCGGUGGUAUAGGAUGGACCCGCGUCUGAUUAGCUAGUUGGCAGGGUAACGGCCUACCAAGGCGACGAUCAGUAGCCGGCUUGAGAGAGUGGACGGCCACAUUGGGACUGAGACACGGCCCAG
Molecule: ribosomal RNA, 308 nt
Filed under: uncultured bacterium
Lineage: Bacteria
Description: bacterial SSU rRNA
Rfam family: Bacterial small subunit ribosomal RNA
Source: RNAcentral